This is a non-coding RNA of Clathrospora elynae, 93 nucleotides long. NCBI's taxonomy places the organism in Eukaryota, Fungi, Ascomycota, Dothideomycetes, Pleosporales, Diademaceae. The record is from the annotation of a GenBank genome assembly.
UCCCAUUGAGUGUAGUGGUUAGCAUGUCUGGUUUUCAUCCUCCUUUUACAUGAAAGCACCCAAGAGACACGAGUUCAAACCUCGCAGUUGGAA